This 294-nucleotide ribosomal RNA is filed under the name uncultured bacterium. RNAcentral describes it as "partial 16S ribosomal RNA". It matches the Rfam family "Bacterial small subunit ribosomal RNA", at positions 775 to 1067 of the family's 1533-position model. The record is from RNAcentral.
GGAUUAGAUACCCUGGUAGUCCACGCCGUAAACGAUGUCAACUAGCCGUCGGGUUCAUUUAGGAAUUUGGUGGCGUAGCUAACGCGAUAAGUUGACCGCCUGGGGAGUACGGCCGCAAGGUUAAAACUCAAAGGAAUUGACGGGGGCCCGCACAAGCGGUGGAGCAUGUGGUUUAAUUCGAUGCAACGCGAAGAACCUUACCAGCCCUUGACAUCCUCGGAACUUUCUAGAGAUAGAUUGGUGCCUUCGGGAACCGAGUGACAGGUGCUGCAUGGCUGUCGUCAGCUCGUGCUG